RNAcentral lists this ribosomal RNA (1083 nucleotides) under Triticum aestivum (bread wheat). RNAcentral's name for it is "partial small subunit ribosomal RNA". Lineage: Eukaryota; Viridiplantae; Streptophyta; Magnoliopsida; Poales; Poaceae. The record is from RNAcentral.
AUGCAAGUCAUUCCUUCAUCAAUAAGUAAUAGAAGCCUACUUGUCUCUAGAGAUACUGGUUCAGGGAGAAUAGCUUAUUUUCUAGUUCCUAUAAUUGCACGUUGUUCACAGAGAGAGCAAUGUACAAGCAAGCGUGGGCCCUUGGCUAUAGUCCUUGCUCCAACUAGAGAGCUGCGCCUACAGGUGGAGGAUCAAUCAAAUGUGCUUGGAAAGGGUUUACCAUUUAAAACUGCUCUAGUUGUUGGUGGAGACCCCUUGGCUCACCAAAUAUAUAGAAUUGAAAAUGGUGUCGAGCUAAUUGUUGGCACCCUUGGGAGACUAAUUGAUCUUCUGAUGAAACACAAUGUUGACCUUAAAGAUGUUUCUAUGUUUGUUUUGGAUCAAGUGGACUGCUUGCUAGAGAGAGGAUUCAGAGAUCAGGCCAUGCAGAUCUUUCGCACGCUCUCAUGUCCACAGGUUAUGAUGUUUUCAGCAACAGUACAUCCAGAAAUUGAGGAAUUGUCAAACUCACUGUCUAACAACUUGAUACACAUUUCUUGCGGGAACCCAGGUAAACCAAACAAAUCAGUUGGGCAAGUGGUAGUCUGGGUGGAGUCUAAGCACAAGAAGCAGAAGUUUUUUGAGAUAAUGAAGAGUAAGAAGCAUUCCAGAGUUGGUGCUGGUCUCUUGUCUGAAGCAAUUACUGCCGCUACUGGGUUGGAGGUUGUUUCUAUUCAUGGCGUGAAAACAAUGAAAGAGAGAAGAGAAAGAUUGAGACGGUUUCUCAUAGGGGAAGUAUCUGUUGUUGUUUGUACAGGGGUCUUGGGACGUGGAAUGUAUCUUCUAAAAGUACAUCAUGUGAUUUUGUUUGACAUGCCAAUUUCCAUUGAUGAAUAUAUUCACCAAGUUGGAAGAGCGUCUCGGAUGGGUGAGGAGGGUGUGCCUAUUGUCUUUGUGAAUGAGAAGGAUCGGAAACUUUUUAGAGAGCUUGUUCAGGUUCUGAAGACUGCAGGAGCUCCAAUUCCCCAGGAACUCUCUAAUUCAAAAUUCACCAGCAGUAUUUCUCUUGGGAAGAGAAAACUGAAUUCUCUGCCACCUUCUUGA